Molecule: ribosomal RNA, 253 nt
Filed under: uncultured Fusobacterium sp.
Lineage: Bacteria; Fusobacteriati; Fusobacteriota; Fusobacteriia; Fusobacteriales; Fusobacteriaceae
Description: partial 16S ribosomal RNA
Rfam family: Bacterial small subunit ribosomal RNA
Source: RNAcentral
CGGGUGAGUAACGCGUAAAGAACUUGCCUCAUAGUCUGGGACAACAUUUGGAAACGGAUGCUAAUACCGGAUAUUAUGCUUUCUUCGCAUGGAGGAAGUAUGAAAGCUAUAUGCGCUAUGAGAGAGCUUUGCGUCCCAUUAGCUAGUUGGUGAGGUAACGGCCCACCAAGGCGAUGAUGGGUAGCCGGCCUGAGAGGGUGAACGGCCACAAGGGACUGAGAUACGGCCCUUACUCCUACGGGAGGCAGCAGUC